RNAcentral lists this ribosomal RNA (253 nucleotides) under uncultured bacterium. RNAcentral's name for it is "partial 16S ribosomal RNA". It matches the Rfam family "Bacterial small subunit ribosomal RNA", at positions 524 to 776 of the family's 1533-position model. The record is from RNAcentral.
UACGGGGGGGGCAAGCGUUGCUCGGAAUCACUGGGCGUAAAGGGCGCGUAGGCGGGAUGGCAAGUCAGUCGUGAAAUCUCUCGGCUCAACCGAGAAACGUCGGCUGAUACUGCCGUUCUUGAGGGAUGCAGAGGAGACUGGAAUUCCCGGUGUAGCGGUGAAAUGUGUAGAGAUCGGGAGGAACACCGGUGGCGAAGGCGGGUCUCUGGGCAGUAACUGACGCUGAGGAGCGAAAGCGUGGGGAGCGAACAGG